GGCUUCAUGGUGUAGUGGUCAGCACGCUCGACGCGUAUUCGAGAGGUCCGUGGUUCGAGUCCUGGAGAGGGCA
Molecule: transfer RNA, 73 nt
Filed under: Stegodyphus mimosarum
Lineage: Eukaryota; Metazoa; Arthropoda; Arachnida; Araneae; Eresidae
Rfam family: tRNA
About the family: Transfer RNA (tRNA) molecules are approximately 80 nucleotides in length. Their secondary structure includes four short double-helical elements and three loops (D, anti-codon, and T loops).
Source: Rfam by way of RNAcentral